AGAGUUUGAUCCUGGCUCAGGACGAACGCUUUCGGCGUGCUUAACACAUGCAAGUCGAACGGAAAGGCCCUUCGGGGUACUCGAGUGGCGAACGGGUGAGUAACACGUGGGUGAUCUGCCCUGCACUUUGGGAUAAGCCUGGGAAACUGGGUCUAAUACCGAAUAUGACCACGCUCUUCGUGGGGUGUGGUGGAAAGCUUUUGCGGUGUGGGAUGGGCCCGCGGCCUAUCAGCUUGUUGGUGGGGUAAUGGCCUACCAAGGCGACGACGGGUAGCCGGCCUGAGAGGGUGACCGGCCACACUGGGACUGAGAUACGGCCCAGACUCCUACGGGAGGCAGCAGUGGGGAAUAUUGCACAAUGGGCGCAAGCCUGAUGCAGCGACGCCGCGUGAGGGAUGACGGCCUUCGGGUUGUAAACCUCUUUCACCAGGGACGAAGCGCAAGUGACGGUACCUGGAGAAGAAGCACCGGCCAACUACGUGCCAGCAGCCGCGGUAAUACGUAGGGUGCGAGCGUUGUCCGGAAUUACUGGGCGUAAAGAGCUCGUAGGUGGUUUGUCGCGUUGUUCGUGAAAACUCACAGCUUAACUGUGGGCGUGCGGGCGAUACGGGCAGACUAGAGUACUGCAGGGGAGACUGGAAUUCCUGGUGUAGCGGUGGAAUGCGCAGAUAUCAGGAGGAACACCGGUGGCGAAGGCGGGUCUCUGGGCAGUAACUGACGCUGAGGAGCGAAAGCGUGGGGAGCGAACAGGAUUAGAUACCCUGGUAGUCCACGCCGUAAACGAUGUCAACUAGCUGUUUGAUACAUUAGAUAUUGGGUAGCGAAGCCAACGCGAUAAGUUGACCGCCUGGGGAGUACGGUCGCAAGAUUAAAACUCAAAGGAAUUGACGGGGGCCCGCACAAGCGGUGGAGCAUGUGGUUUAAUUCGAUGCAACGCGAAGAACCUUACCUGCCCUUGACAUAUAGAGGAGUUGCUAGAGAUAGCGAUGUGCCGAGAGGAACUCUAAUACAGGUGCUGCAUGGCUGUCGUCAGCUCGUGUCGUGAGAUGUUGGGUUAAGUCCCGUAACGAGCGCAACCCUUAUACUUAGUUGCCAACAGGUAGAGCUGGGAACUCUAGGUAGACUGCCGGUGUUAAACCGGAGGAAGGCGGGGACGAUGUCAAGUCAUCAUGGCCCUUACGGGCAGGGCUACACACGUGCUACAAUGGCUAGUACAGAGGGCGGCGAAGUCGUGAGAUGGAGCAAAUCCUUAAAAGCUAGUCGUAGUCCGGAUUGAAGUCUGCAACUCGACUUCAUGAAGUCGGAAUCGCUAGUAAUCGCAAAUCAGCAUGUUGCGGUGAAUACGUUCCCGGGCCUUGCACUCACCGCCCGUCAAG
RNAcentral lists this ribosomal RNA (1376 nucleotides) under uncultured bacterium. RNAcentral describes it as "partial 16S ribosomal RNA". It matches the Rfam family "Bacterial small subunit ribosomal RNA". The record is from RNAcentral.